AGUCACUGCUAUUGGGAUUCGGCUAAGCCAUGCAAGCGGAGGGCGCGGUCGAAAGAUCGUGGCCCCACACACUGCUCAGUAACACGUAGUCAACCUACCCUUGGGACGGGGACAACCUCGGGAAACUGAGGCUAAUCCCCGAUAGGUGAGGGACGCUGGAAUGCCUCCUCGCCCAAAGCUCCGGCGCCCAAGGAUGGGACUGCGGUCUAUCAGGCUGUUGGUGGUGUAACGGACCACCAAACCUACGACGGGUACGGGCGUUGGGAGUCGGAGCCCGGAGAUGGGGACUGAGACAAGGCCCCAGGCCCUACGGGGCGCAGCAGGCGCGAAAACUCCGCAAUGCGCGCAAGCGUGACGGGGGAAUCCCAAGUGCCGUUGGUCCUAUGAUCGACGGUUUUUAGGAAGUCUAAGAAGCUUCCAGAAUAAGGGCUGGGCAAGACUGGUGCCAGCCGCCGCGGUAACACCAGCAGCCCAAGUGGUGACCACGAUUAUUGGGCCUAAAGCGCUCGUAGCCGGAUCAGCAAGUCCCUUGUGAAAUCGGGCCGCCUAACGGUUCGGCGUGCAAGGGAUACUGUUGGUCUUGAGGCCGGGAGAGGUCGGAGGUACUCCUGGGGUAGCGGUGAAAUGCUCUAAUCCUAGGGGGACCACCAGUGGCGAAGGCGUCCGACCAGAACGGACCUGACGGUGAGGGGCGAAGGCUAGGGGAGCGAACGGGAUUAGAUACCCCGGUAGUCCUAGCUGUAAAGCAUGCGGGCCAGGUGUCUAGCGCUCCUUGAGGGCGCUAGGUGCCGGAGGGAAGCCGUUAAGCCCGCCGCCUGGGAAGUACGGCCGCAAGGCUGAAACUUAAAGAAAUUGGCGGGGGAGCACCACAAGAGGUGGGACCUGCGGUUC
This 891-nucleotide ribosomal RNA is filed under the name uncultured archaeon. Its description in RNAcentral is "bacterial SSU rRNA". It matches the Rfam family "Archaeal small subunit ribosomal RNA", at positions 21 to 903 of the family's 1478-position model. The record is from RNAcentral.